UACGUAGGGGGCGAGCGUUGUCCGGAAUGACUGGGCGUAAAGGGCGCGUAGGCGGCCGAAUAAGUCUGGAGUGAAAGUCCUGCUUUCAAGGUGGGAAUUGCUUUGGAAACUGUUUGGCUUGAGUGCAGAAGAGGUAAGUGGAAUUCCCAGUGUAGCGGUGAAAUGCGUAGAGAUUGGGAGGAACACCAGUGGCGAAGGCGACUUACUGGGCUGUAACUGACGCUGAGGCGCGAAAGCGUGGGGAGCAAACCGG
This 253-nucleotide ribosomal RNA is filed under the name uncultured bacterium. Its description in RNAcentral is "partial 16S ribosomal RNA". It matches the Rfam family "Bacterial small subunit ribosomal RNA", at positions 524 to 776 of the family's 1533-position model. The record is from RNAcentral.